RNAcentral lists this small nucleolar RNA (107 nucleotides) under Capsicum annuum. Its description in RNAcentral is "Plant small nucleolar RNA R71". It matches the Rfam family "Plant small nucleolar RNA R71". From Rfam's summary of the family: R71 is a member of the C/D box family of snoRNAs containing the C (UGAUGA) and D (CUGA) box motifs. Multiple nearly identical copies of this snoRNA have been identified in Arabidopsis, and it is thought to function as a 2'-O-ribose methylation guide for 18S ribosomal RNA. Lineage: Eukaryota; Viridiplantae; Streptophyta; Magnoliopsida; Solanales; Solanaceae. The record is from Rfam by way of RNAcentral.
UGAUGAUGGUAAGGGUAAUUUCUAAGAAUACCCUUUAAUCUCUCCCAAGCUUGGUAGAGAUUCUCUCGAUCUUUCUGUUUAAAACUCAAGAUUUCACUCCUCAAGUG